RNAcentral lists this ribosomal RNA (301 nucleotides) under uncultured bacterium. RNAcentral describes it as "partial 16S ribosomal RNA". It matches the Rfam family "Bacterial small subunit ribosomal RNA", at positions 509 to 807 of the family's 1533-position model. The record is from RNAcentral.
CAGUAGCCACGGUAAAACGGAGGGGGCUAGCGUUGUUCGGAAUUACUGGGCGUAAAGCGCACGUAGGCGGCUUUGUAAGUCAGAGGUGAAAGCCCGGGGCUCAACCCCGGAAUUGCCUUUGAGACUGCAUCGCUUGAAUCCAGGAGAGGUGAGUGGAAUUCCGAGUGUAGAGGUGAAAUUCGUAGAUAUUCGGAAGAACACCAGUGGCGAAGGCGGCUCACUGGACUGGUAUUGACGCUGAGGUGCGAAAGCGUGGGGAGCGAACAGGAUUAGAUACCCCCGUAGUCCCUGUCUCUUAUAC